This 84-nucleotide transfer RNA is filed under the name Methanosarcina sp. Ant1. Its description in RNAcentral is "tRNA-Leu". The record is from RNAcentral. Lineage: Archaea; Methanobacteriati; Methanobacteriota; Methanomicrobia; Methanosarcinales; Methanosarcinaceae.
GCGAGAGUUGCCCAGCCAGGUCAAAGGCGCCAGGUUCAGAGUCCAGUCUUGUAGAAGUCAUGCAUUCGAAUCGCACCUCUCGCA